GGUAAGAGUAGAUUAUCAGCGAUAGUGACUAAAAAUGGGACGUUGUUUUAGUACGAAUAAAUUUUUUAAAUUUGCGAUUGAUAAUCGCGUUCACUACU
Molecule: non-coding RNA, 98 nt
Filed under: Helcococcus kunzii
Lineage: Bacteria; Bacillati; Bacillota; Tissierellia; Tissierellales; Peptoniphilaceae
Also listed under: 1 other name
Description: THF-I sequence
Rfam family: THF (Tetrahydrofolate) riboswitch aptamer
About the family: THF riboswitch presents a pseudoknot that joins P1-P2 and the loop of P3 and two THF binding.
Source: RNAcentral